Non-coding RNA from Pelobates cultripes (western spadefoot toad), 684 nucleotides. The record is from the annotation of a GenBank genome assembly. NCBI's taxonomy places the organism in Eukaryota, Metazoa, Chordata, Amphibia, Anura, Pelobatidae.
UCUCGAUCAGUAUCAGGGGUGAGCUAGGGACCAUUGUCAUAAUGUCCCUUUAACCCCUUAAGGACCAAACUUCUGGAAUAAAAGGGAAUCAUGACAUGUCCCUCUUGACUAGUGUCUCUGACUGCCUCUCUGCUGUUUCUAACUGGAUGGCUGCCCACUUCCUUAAACUAAACUUGACCAAAACUGAAAUUCUGGUCUUUCCUCCCUCAAGUGUUGUUACUCCUGUGUCUGUCUCUCUCCAAGUCAACGGUGCUACCAUCAGCUCCACCACACAGGCUCGCUGCCUAGGUGUUCUCUUUGACUCCGACCUCUCCUUCAAGCCUCAUGUUCAAUCUAUCGACCAAAUCCUGUCAUUUCCAUCUCAAAAACAUUGCGCGCAUCCGCCCCUACUUAAUGCCAGAUGCGACUAAGGUGUUAGUCCAUUCCACUGUCCUUUCUCGCCUUGACUACUGUAAUCUGCUUCUCAGUGGUCUUACGUGCUCCCAACUUGCGCCGUUACAGUCCCUAAUGAAUGCGGUGGUGAGGCUCAUCUUCCUGUCCGCCCGCACCUCCCAUGCCUCACCCUUCUGUCAGUCCCUACAUUGGCUUCCUAUAAAAUAUAGAGCUCAAUUUAAAAUUCUGGUUCUUGCUUUCAAAUCUCUACUUAAUGCUGCUCCCACCUAUCUAGCCUCCCUUAUACACAAG